AGGUUUGUGUACACCAACAGGAUAAAUCUCCCGUUGGAUGACUCGCUUUAGAAGAAUCAAAAAUUGUCAACUUUCCGUCUUUAGCAUUUAGCUUAGCGCAGCGCCAUUGCAACCAUAAACGAUACUGGCUUGGCUAUGUC
This is a long non-coding RNA of Etheostoma cragini (Arkansas darter), 140 nucleotides long. RefSeq lists it as uncharacterized. The transcript has 3 exons. Lineage: Eukaryota; Metazoa; Chordata; Actinopteri; Perciformes; Percidae. The record is from RefSeq and is a predicted model, not a curated record.